Molecule: small RNA, 16 nt
Filed under: Arabidopsis thaliana (thale cress)
Lineage: Eukaryota; Viridiplantae; Streptophyta; Magnoliopsida; Brassicales; Brassicaceae
Description: ATSL153470
Source: RNAcentral
AAAAACGAAAAAAAAA